RNAcentral lists this ribosomal RNA (363 nucleotides) under Babesia odocoilei. RNAcentral describes it as "SSU rRNA". It matches the Rfam family "Eukaryotic small subunit ribosomal RNA", at positions 462 to 880 of the family's 1831-position model. Lineage: Eukaryota; Apicomplexa; Aconoidasida; Piroplasmida; Babesiidae. The record is from RNAcentral.
AGGUAGUGACAAGAAAUAACAAUACAGGGCAAUUGUCUUGUAAUUGGAAUGAUGGUGACCUAAACCCUCACCAGAGUAACAAUUGGAGGGCAAGUCUGGUGCCAGCAGCCGCGGUAAUUCCAGCUCCAAUAGCGUAUAUUAAACUUGUUGCGGUUAAAAAGCUCGUAGUUGAAUUUCUGCGUCACCGUAUUUUGACUUUUGUCGACUGUCGGUUUCGCUUUUGGGAUUUAUCCCUUUUUACUUUGAGAAAAUUAGAGUGUUUCAAGCAGACUUUUGUCUUGAAUACUUCAGCAUGGAAUAAUAGAGUAGGACUUUGGUUCUAUUUUGUUGGUUUGUGAACCUUAGUAAUGGUUAAUAGGAACG